This is a non-coding RNA of Cordylochernes scorpioides, 79 nucleotides long. NCBI's taxonomy places the organism in Eukaryota, Metazoa, Arthropoda, Arachnida, Pseudoscorpiones, Chernetidae. The record is from the annotation of a GenBank genome assembly.
AGGUCACGCAGAGAAUCGAACCCGGGCCUUCUGGGUGAAAUCCAGAUAUCCUAGCCCCUAGACCACUUUGAUCAUAGCC